UCAAAAACAUGGCCUUUUGAGAAUAAUUUAAGGUCAGGCCUGCCCACUGAAUAUUAAAGGGCCGCGGUAAUUUGACCGUGCUAAGGUAGCAUAAUCAUUAGUUUCUUAAUUAGAAGCUAGAAUGAAGGGUUUCAUGAAAAAACGAUUGUCUCUGUUUAAUAAUUAUAGAAUUUUAUUUUUAAGUAAGAAAGCUUAAAUUAAUUUAAAAGACGAGAAGACCCUAUAGAGUUUAAUAUUAUAAGUAAUAAUAUUUUAUUGGUAUAAUAAUUUUUUAUUAUUUUUAAUAUUUAAUUGGGGUGAUUGAAAAAUUGAAUAAACUUUUUUUAUUAUAAGUCAUUAAUUUAUGAAUAUUUGAUCCAUUAAUAGUGAUUAUAAGAAAAAAUUACCUUAGGGAUAACAGCGUUAUUUUUUUUGAGAGUUCUUAUCGAAAAAAAAGAUUGCGACCUCGAUGUUGGAUUAAAAUUAAUUCUUGGUGCAGAAGUUAGGAAUUUUAGGUCUGUUCGACCUUUAAAAUUUUACAUGAUCUGA
RNAcentral lists this ribosomal RNA (528 nucleotides) under Spermophagus cicatricosus. RNAcentral's name for it is "partial 16S ribosomal RNA". It matches the Rfam family "Bacterial large subunit ribosomal RNA", at positions 1807 to 2608 of the family's 2925-position model. Lineage: Eukaryota; Metazoa; Arthropoda; Insecta; Coleoptera; Chrysomelidae. The record is from RNAcentral.